UUCCUUCUUAUUUAUUCACUUAUAUAUGUUCCCAAACAUAUUAUAAUAGAUCCAACAACAAGCCAAAGUCCCAAGUUUCAUAAUGGACAAAAGUACAAGCAAUUCAUCAAUAAUGAAGGUGCUACAAAAACUGGAAUCUGCCCCAAAAUAGAAAUCCAACCCAAGAGACUUUUUCUCUCUCUCCCUCUUCCGCCUCCUUUCAUCUAUCAAAUUUCUGCAACCUCUUCUCUUCUCCAAUGGAGCUGAAUUUUGGACACCCUAUAGUUCUUGAGCAUAUGAACAACUUUCAAGAAGGAACCAUUUCUGUUUGAGCGACGGAAAUUAAAGUGUUGAAGCUCCAAACAUGACAGUCGGAUUCUUGCAGAUUUCGAAGCUGCUGUGAUGUUUCGAAGAUCUGGAAAUAUUUAACCAUUAAUUCAUUCUGCAUUUUUGAUAUGUUAUGAAAGAGACGAUGAGGAACAACUUCAAUGAAGAAAGCAUACCGAUCUGAACAAGAGAAAAUAGAGUUUCAAAGCUCACAACAAAUCUGACGGGUUGACAGAAAAAUAAUAACCAGUCAUUCAUCAUACCUGGAUUUCUGGAGUUAUACUGCUCCGAGGGAUCUCAAAUUUGGAUAUGUUGUAGUUCACAAGCUGAGGAACAACUUCAAUGAAGAAAGCAUGCUGAUCUGAGCAAGAGAAAAUAGAGUUUCAAAGCUCACAACAAAUCUGACGGGUUGACAGACAAAUGAUAAACAGUCACUCAUCAUACCUGGAUUUCUGGAGUUAUACUGCUCCGAGGGACCUCAAAUUUGGAUAUGUUGUAGUUCACAAGUUAAGGAACAACUUCGAUGAAGAAAGUAUGUUGAUCUGAGCAAGAGAAAAUGGAGUUUUUGAAGCUCACAACAAGUCUGACGCGUUGAUAUACAAAUGACGAACAAUCACUCAUCAUACCUGAAUUUCUGGAGUUGUACUGCUCCGAUGGAUCUCCAAUUCGGAUAUGUUGUAGUUCACGAGCUAAGGAACAACUUUCAUGAAGAUGGUUUUGCGAUCUGAGCCACAGAAAAUGGUGUUAUAUUGAAGAAAAGCUAAAGGAAGACUAAAGGAAAGCAAAAAUGGUAAAGCAAAGUAAAAAAAAAAAGCUAAAGGAAGACAAAAU
Molecule: long non-coding RNA, 1137 nt
Filed under: Malus domestica (apple)
Lineage: Eukaryota; Viridiplantae; Streptophyta; Magnoliopsida; Rosales; Rosaceae
Description: long non-coding RNA (MDOM_LNC014764)
Source: RNAcentral